UACGUAGGGUGCAAGCGUUAGUCGGAAUUACUGGGCGUAAAGCGUGCGCAGGCGGUUUUGUAAGUCAGAUGUGAAAUCCCCGGGCUUAACCUGGGAACUGCGUUUGAAACUACAAGGCUAGAGUGUGGCAGAGGGGGGUGGAAUUCCACGUGUAGCAGUGAAAUGCGUAGAGAUGUGGAGGAACACCGAUGGCGAAGGCAGCCCCCUGGGUUAACACUGACGCUCAGGCACGAAAGCGUGGGGAGCAAACAGG
RNAcentral lists this ribosomal RNA (253 nucleotides) under uncultured bacterium. Its description in RNAcentral is "partial 16S ribosomal RNA". It matches the Rfam family "Bacterial small subunit ribosomal RNA", at positions 524 to 776 of the family's 1533-position model. The record is from RNAcentral.